This 496-nucleotide ribosomal RNA is filed under the name uncultured bacterium. Its description in RNAcentral is "partial 16S ribosomal RNA". It matches the Rfam family "Bacterial small subunit ribosomal RNA", at positions 28 to 506 of the family's 1533-position model. The record is from RNAcentral.
GAUGAACGCUGGCGGCGUGCCUAAUACAUGCAAGUCGAGCGAACAGACGAGGAGCUUGCUCCUCUGACGUUAGCGGCGGACGGGUGAGUAACACGUGGAUAACCUACCUAUAAGACUGGGAUAACUUCGGGAAACCGGAGCUAAUACCGGAUAAUAUAUUGAACCGCAUGGUUCAAUAGUGAAAGACGGUUUUGCUGUCACUUAUAGAUGGAUCCGCGCCGCAUUAGCUAGUUGGUAGGGUAACGGCUUACCAAGGCAACGAUGCGUAGCCGACCUGAGAGGGUGAUCGGCCACACUGGAACUGAGACACGGUCCAGACUCCUACGGGAGGCAGCAGUAGGGAAUCUUCCGCAAUGGGCGAAAGCCUGACGGAGCAACGCCGCGUGAGUGAUGAAGGUCUUCGGAUCGUAAAACUCUGUUAUUAGGGAAGAACAAAUGUGUAAGUAACUAUGCACGUCUUGACGGUACCUAAUCAGAAAGCCACGGCUAACUACGG